This 449-nucleotide ribosomal RNA is filed under the name uncultured bacterium. Its description in RNAcentral is "partial 16S ribosomal RNA". It matches the Rfam family "Bacterial small subunit ribosomal RNA", at positions 29 to 523 of the family's 1533-position model. The record is from RNAcentral.
AACGAACGCUGGCGGCAGGCUUAACACAUGCAAGUCGAACGCAUCCUUCGGGGUGAGUGGCAGACGGGUGAGUAACGCGUGGGAACGUGCCCUUCAGUUCGGGAUAACCCAGGGAAACUUGGGCUAAUACCGGAUACGUGCGAGAGCAGAAAGAUUUAUCGCUGAAGGAUCGGCCCGCGUCUGAUUAGCUAGUUGGUGGGGUAAUGGCCCACCAAGGCGACGAUCAGUAGCUGGUCUGAGAGGAUGAUCAGCCACAUUGGGACUGAGACACGGCCCAAACUCCUACGGGGGGCAGGAGUGGGGAAUAUUGGACAAUGGGCGCAAGCCUGAUCCAGCCAUGCCGCGUGGGUGAUGAAGGCCUUAGGGUUGUAAAGCUCUUUCGUCCGGGACGAUAAUGACGGUACCGGAAGAAGAAGCCCCGGCUAACUUCGUGCCAGCAGCAGCCGCCG